UGUGUGUGUGGUGUGGUGGGGGUGGGCCGGGGGCCGACUUACAGAGCCGUGUAGGCAGGAAACCUUCCCUGCUCACACACGCUUACCAUGCAGCCAUGGGGGUGGAGAGAUGCUAUGUAGUUAAACCCAAGGCAGCCUGUGGAUACAACACUUCCAGCGUGACACUCGCAGAGAACGGCAAAAGCUCAGCCUCAAAUACACACACACACACACACACACAUAGAACAGCAGAUCUCAACAGGAUACUGCAGUCAGUCACAGGCACAUGAGCACUGGAGGAAAUGGAGUGAGAAGAAAAAGGAAGAGACAAAUCACACACAUGCCAUGUGUGCAGAGAAGCAGAUUGUCCGCUAUCAGCGGUGAUGGUGCGCGGAGGAAGAAUGCGAGCAUACAGCGAAGUCAAACAAAAGUUCCUCAGAUGACAAUUCCUGAAACAGAAUAGGAUGGACUUGCUAAAACCGAAUCCCGCACUCAUCCUGCAUCGCAGUACAGAGACGUUAAUGGAGCUCUGACUCUCUUUCGGUGUAUUUGCGGCUCUUGAAGAGGCUGAACGAAGGGGGAAGUCAAGGACCCCGCACAUGCAGGCAGCGCUCAGCCAUGAGGAAAUACUCUUUUCACCCAGACAGAGGUUAUCCAGACAGGCUCAAUCUAUUCAGAUCACAUGAUGCUUCAUUUCAAUAUAGGUGAGCAUAUGGUUAUAAUUCAUUUAUAUAUCAUUUAAUAUUGCAGCAAAUUUCCUGCCUCACUGCAUUUACCAACAACUUCAGUAUCUUCAGUCUUGUGGAUGCAUAAAUGUAUAAUGAAAAAAUUGCGAUAACAAAUUCAGUCUAACACAUUUUAAAGUUCUCAGAACAACCGAGUGUUCAAAUUGAAUAGAAAUUCCACAUCAGUGGAAGCUGCAAAGCUCUUACACUUUAACUUGCCAUCACAUUUAAUCUGAAAUGUGCAGAAAUUUCUGCUGCAGCACUUUGAAAAGAACCUUAGCUCAGAACUUCAGUAUCUACAAUACAAGCCGUGUCUUAUGUGCUGACUAGCAGGCCCUUGGGCUGAGCAGUGACUGUGGAAGUUUAUGAAUGGAAUGUGCUGGAAUUCUCCUAAUGUUUACAGGUCAUUCAUGUGAAGUCGCAGACUGGGGUUUCUCCUUAGGAGCAGACAAUAGUGUUGCAGCAGGAAACACAUAUCUCCCUCGAGAGCUUCACGGCAUGCUCCCUCACCCUGAUGUAGCGCCACACACAAGAAAAUAAAAAAAUGGAGCAAAUUAGGAAGAGUUAAUAGGGUGGUAGAUGCAUGUAUAUUUAUAAUUUUAUCACAUUAAUUGUUUAGUUUACUUAAAGCAUGGCUUUUGGGAUUUACGUCUUUAAAUAGUGUCCGUUCGUGCAUUUAAUUUUCAGAGCCCAUUGUUGGUGCUGCCAGAAAAAAUACAAUAGUAAUGUAAAUGGAACAGAAUGAAACAAUAUAGCUGUCAACAUCAGCUGUCACUCUGCAAAUGAAACAGCAAAUUUUGACAGAGUUUUUAAUCCCUAGAAUCCAAAGCACUUUACGGUCAACAAAGCAGACAGUCAGUAUUUCAUUUAAACCGCAUAAUCAUAACUCUAGCAUAGCAUAAACUAAGCCCACGUUUACAAGACACAACAACACAGAGAUCCAUUCUACAAGCACCAUUCUAUUAAGGCCACUCUCACAUGACAGUUCACUGCUCACUAAAUGGCCUUAACUGUUUCAAAAACACUCUCUUAGAAAAGGGUACUGUGUCCGUACCAUGGUACAGUGAUAGAUAGAUCUUGUCAUUCUUUGAAAUAUGGGUCAAUGGUGUGACGCUCAUUUUUUGUUUUUAUCUUUAAUUUAUUUUUUUUGUGUGUCUACACUACUGUUUAGAUUUGUAUUUUUUUUUAAGUCUGUUUUGUUCUCCAAGGCUGCAUUUACAUGAUCAAAAAAUACAUUAAAACAGUAAUAUUAAUAUAUUAGUGAAAUAAUAGUGAAAUGUUAAUAUAUUUUAAAAUGUAGUUUAUUCCUGUGAUGACAAAGCUGAAUUUUAGUAGUCAUUUAGUAACUCCAGUCUUCACUAUCACAUGAUCCUUCAGAAAUUAUUCUAAUAUGCUGAUUUGGUGCUCAAGAAACCCUUCUUAUAACAGCUUAGCUGCUUAAUAUUUUUGUGGAAACAAAAGAUACGUUUUUUCCAGGAUUCUUUAAUGAAUAGAAAAUUUUAAAAGAAAAUUUAUAAUUUGUUUGGAAUAGAAUUAGUAACAAUGUAAUGUCUUUUACCAUUCUGGAAUCAAACAGACACAAUUAGUCCAUCCUUGUUCGAUAAAAACCAUCAGUAGUUCUCUGACAUCAUGCAGUCACUGUCCCAUGGACUAAUCAGACUACUUACAGAGGGCCGAACACUGACAGUGAGCAGGGACAGAGCAUUGGAAUUCAGGUUAGGAAUGAACUCCCUAAUGGAGAAAAAUUGGAGUCAAGUGACCAUCAGCUGGUCGAAGUAUGUUUGAUCAAUACAGUCACAAGGUCUCAGGUAUGCAGAGCUGGAGCCUUUACAGGAGGGUGCAAAGACGGCCUACAGUGUCUGCAUGCUCCUGUCAGUCAAGCUUUAUUAUUAACCAGUACAAUAUUCUUUUACAUAAAUUGCCUUAAACGCUCAGCAUCCUUGCCAACAGGAAGUAUUUAGCACUAUAUGUGAGUCACUCUCUUUUGUUUGUCUAGCUGAGGAUGAUUUAAUUAGUCACCGACCCAAUCAAAGUGCACCUUUGGUGGCAAACAAGCACCCACUUUUAAUUAAUAAGACUUGAAUUGAGUGCUCUGAAUGAUGUAGCCUAAUGCGUGCCAAACCACUAAGUGGAUUCGAGAAAUAAUAGUCGCAAAACCAGGCUUACAUUUUCAUGAUAUCUAACAGCCUUAACACAAUACUCUGGUCAAACAAAGGUUUAUGGUACUGUUUGUUAUGAGAAAAAAAGCACAAAGCAGGUCUGGUUAGGUUAAAAGGGUGUGAUAUGAGCACCUUUAAAACGGGUCGGAGCCAUAGCCUCUGUCUGCCUGUCUCCAGGCUAAUGGGAAAGAAUGAGAAAUAUUUGCGAGAGUGCUAACGCCAUGCUUAAAAAUGCCCAUCGGGAGAUUAGCUCCCCCUCCCCUGUGCUGCCUGUCUGUGUGCUGCAAGCAAAAAGGAGGGCUUUUGUCGUCCUCUGGAGUUGCAGACACUUUGAUAUGGGGUUGUCUAACCAUUUGCUUCUUUGUCUCUGUCUUCCUCAGGCACUGAGGACAGCUCAAGUGGACUGCCGCUGCCAGUGGCUUGUUAGGGUGCUUAUGAGGUGCUCAGUAGUCAGUGUAGAUCCUGUGUUGCAAUCAGCAGCUACAUCUGGCUACUGGGUCUCUGAUGGCAUUUGCUGCUUCCUGUUGGCACAUUCCUUUCAGAUUGUGUGGUAUGUUAUCACAAUG
Cyprinus carpio (common carp) is the source of this 3429-nucleotide long non-coding RNA. RefSeq lists it as uncharacterized. The record is from RefSeq and is a predicted model, not a curated record. NCBI's taxonomy places the organism in Eukaryota, Metazoa, Chordata, Actinopteri, Cypriniformes, Cyprinidae. The transcript has 5 exons.